This 206-nucleotide unclassified non-coding RNA is filed under the name plant metagenome. RNAcentral's name for it is "partial contains small subunit ribosomal RNA, internal transcribed spacer 1, and 5.8S ribosomal RNA". The record is from RNAcentral.
UUUCCGUAGGUGAACCAGCGGAAGGAUCAUUAAUAAUAAGUGAAUUACUGCACUUUUUUAAGAUAGUACCCACCUUGUGUGCAAUCUUGUGUUUCUUUUCGGAGAAACACCUACACCAACCUAUAACCUAGAACCACUUUGUCUGAGAAACUAUUAUGAAUACUUAAUUCAAAAUACAACUUUCAACAACGGAUCUCUUGGCUCUC